CGGGCUUAAAUUGCAAAUGAAUGUUCUGGAAACAGAUCAGCCGCAAGGCAUUUGUGA
RNAcentral lists this ribosomal RNA (57 nucleotides) under uncultured Bacteroides sp. RNAcentral describes it as "partial 16S rRNA". The record is from RNAcentral. Lineage: Bacteria; Pseudomonadati; Bacteroidota; Bacteroidia; Bacteroidales; Bacteroidaceae.